AGAGUUUGAUCCUGGCUCAGGAUGAACGCUGGCGGCGUGCUUAACACAUGCAAGUCGAACGGGAAAUAUUUCAUUGAGACUUCGGUGGAUUUGAUCUAUUUCUAGUGGCGGACGGGUGAGUAACGCGUGGGUAACCUGCCUUAUACAGGGGGAUAACAGUCAGAAAUGGCUGCUAAUACCGCAUAAGCGCACAGGGCUGCAUGGCUCAGUGUGAAAAACUCCGGUGGUAUAAGAUGGACCCGCGUUGGAUUAGCUUGUUGGUGGGGUAACGGCCCACCAAGGCGACGAUCCAUAGCCGGCCUGAGAGGGUGAACGGCCACAUUGGGACUGAGACACGGCCCAAACUCCUACGGGAGGCAGCAGUGGGGAAUAUUGCACAAUGGGCGAAAGCCUGAUGCAGCGACGCCGCGUGAGCGAAGAAGUAUUUCGGUAUGCAAAGCACUAUCAGCAGGGAAGAUAAUGACGGUACCUGACUAAGAAGC
RNAcentral lists this ribosomal RNA (482 nucleotides) under uncultured bacterium. Its description in RNAcentral is "bacterial SSU rRNA". It matches the Rfam family "Bacterial small subunit ribosomal RNA", at positions 8 to 491 of the family's 1533-position model. The record is from RNAcentral.